Molecule: transfer RNA, 76 nt
Filed under: Celeribacter halophilus
Lineage: Bacteria; Pseudomonadati; Pseudomonadota; Alphaproteobacteria; Rhodobacterales; Roseobacteraceae
Also listed under: 6 other names
Description: tRNA_Ala_CGC
Rfam family: tRNA
About the family: Transfer RNA (tRNA) molecules are approximately 80 nucleotides in length. Their secondary structure includes four short double-helical elements and three loops (D, anti-codon, and T loops).
Source: RNAcentral
GGGGUUGUAGCUCAGUUGGGAGAGCGCGUCGUUCGCAAUGACGAGGUCGUCGGUUCGAUCCCGAUCAACUCCACCA